Molecule: long non-coding RNA, 2429 nt
Organism: Dicentrarchus labrax (European seabass)
Lineage: Eukaryota; Metazoa; Chordata; Actinopteri; Moronidae
Exons: 3
Source: RefSeq, a predicted model, not a curated record
GGCAACAGAGGUCUGGUAAGCUCACUACUUUUUAACUCUGCACCCCCAGAUUUUUUUCAUUUUCAAAGUUGUAGUCUUCAGCUCAAACGGAGUCUGAAUCGAGUGAAUUUAUCAGCCUUUGCACAGCUCCCUCUGGAGACACUUAAGGCUUUAAAGAACUUUUUCACAUUUCACAGUAGAGCUCCCCAACACCUGUAAACAGUCUUUAAUGUGUAAACUCGUGAAGUUUCCCUUUAAAGAGGUUAUCAGAGCUUUCCGUAAGCGCCAGCUACCAGCCAAUCACCCGUCAUUUACGUGCAGCAGACUACUUUUAUUCCUGUAAAAAACGCAGUAUUAAGUUUGUUAGCCGUAACUUAAUACUGCAUCUUUUGCAGGAAUAAAAGUAACAUUUCUGACUGCUGCAGAUUCAGAUUAAAAGCAUUCAAUUGGGGGGUUCGAAUCUGACCUGUGACCAUUUGCUGCGUGUCAUCCCCUCCCUCUGCCCCCCUUUCCUGUCUAUCUUCAGCUGUCACUAAAGGCAAUAAAAGGCCAAAAAAAUUAUUUUAUAAAAGCAUUCAACUGGCAAAACACGUUGACUUUUAUUAUGAAAUAGGCUAGUCACAAGAAAUGCAAAAUGUUUGUCAGUGAGCUUGACACUGGGUGCUAUCGCUUAACAAUAAUAUGUCUAAAAAACAAGACAAAAUGAUCCAGCUUUUUUGGUGACAGCAGAUCAGUUUGAAAUAUUGCAGGGAAUAAUGGAACAACAAGGAGCAGCCACAGUUAGAUGAAGAGUUGCAGGCAACAGGCUGCAGCAGAACACCUCCACUUCCAAACAGCUCCCACAGAAAAUGCGGAGGGCUUCAGACAGGCCCUCUCAACUGUGGCCUGCCUAAAGCCAUUACCAGGUUAUAACUAAGGAGGCACAGGCAGGUGGCAACAAGGUAAUAUGAUGACCAGGGAUUCCUGUCCUGUUACCAUGGUGCAGCAGUGGAACACUACAGCACCUGUCAUUAGUGAAUCUACAGUCUCCUGCUUAGCAAUCAGAGACAGCGAGACAAAGACAAAAAAGCAAAACAGAGACGGAGAGACAGCCAGUCCGAGUGAGGGGGACUGCAGAGAUCUGAGGACCCGAGCAGGUGUUGAACAAAGAGAUGGAACACAGAGUGAAAAGCCACGGGGGCAUGAAAGAUGUAGAACCAAAGACAACGGGCAGUGACCUCUGUGGCACUGCAGACGUGGGGACUGCAAGAGACUGCAGCAGAAACUCAGUGGGGGAUGAAGUACAUCAAAAGCUGUCCUGACUAAGGCAGCAUGAUACCAAAUAUUACAUGUACACAUACAUCAAUGAUUUCAGUGCAUCAUUGUUUGUUUUAGCAUGUUUACUUUCUUAACUCAUUUCACACCCAUAUGCUAUACAUAUUGCCGUUCCUUUCUUCUUUGCUGUACUGUGCUAACACAACUUCCUGUCUAUUCUGUCAACAUCUGAGUAGUGAUCAAAGUAGAAUGAACAGAUAUGGCUUCACUUGCCUUGACAGAGGUACUAACCUUUGGUGCUGACAAUCUUAGAGGUGAGCUCCAGAGUCUCGAUGUCCUCAGAUCCGAUGUUCUCCAAGGUGAUGGUCAGCUGCUGGGUCUCUCCAUUAAAAAGCUGGACGGACACAGUGCUGGACAGUUCCUCCUUGGUCAUCGGCUGAGGUGUGUGGGCUGACCUGUUUAGGUUUGUGGAUGAGGGAGAAUUUCAGUGACGACAGAAAGUAAAACGGACAAACUUUUCUUGCUUUUAUUCCUUCAAGGGGUCAAUAUAAAUUAAGAUUUCUAAAAAAAUAACUCAAAGCAUUACAGGCGUGUGAUGUUGAAGGACCUUUGGUGUGGUUUGAUAUGAUGCAAACAGUCCUGUUACUUUCUCAAGUUUUGAUGAAGAUGAUAACAGAUUUUUUUUAUCUCAGUAUUUUCUUACACCCCUAUAAUAGACCCCUGGCAUUAUUAAUGUAAUAGUUAUUUGAAGAGUAAAUCCAUAUUGAAUCACAUAAAGCAGUAAACUGUUCAUCCACUUUUUUUCUUGUAUCUAUGGCCACAUCUCAGUCAGUGACAUUACAUAAAAGUAUUUUCAGCUUGAAGUUUUACAGAGCUGCUAGUAUGUGUUUUUGUAAAUACAAGAGCAAAAGGGAAUAUACAAGAUUACAAAAGAUCAAUGUGGGUGUUUGCUACAACUUCGUACCUCAUUACACAUGCACAUGUUUAGUAUCCUAACUUUAAUAUGCAACAAACACUCUGCCUGAGGCUAGAAUUACAAUGCCAGUCAUCACCAACUGCCUAUAGUUUUUUUUCUGAGCUUGACAGCGGGUCAGCACAAAAAUAACUCCUUGAAACGUUACUGACAUUUCAAACGUAUUGUUGUAAUAAAGCAAUGAUAGGAAACCUUUUCAAAUAAAAAAACUGGGAAUUUUAAA